CAUAAUAUAAAAAUUACUCUCGACUUGCAUAAUUGUUCAAUGCAACUUUUAUGUCUACUUUCAUUUAACAACAAAGUGAUCUUUGGAAAAAAGAGAAACAUAACAAUACAUCAAGAAUUAACAAGAUCAAAACUUUCAGGACUACUGAUUCAUUCUUACAUGAACAAUAUAUACCAUGGUAUAUCAUCUAAUAUGAAAGGCAUACAAAUGACUCAUCCUAGCAAUUAAUCUCAUACAAAAUGAACCCUUUCAAACAAAAAGGGUGGGGGGAAGAAAGUCAACCAAUGGCAAGGUCAAAACCCAGCCCUCGAACUAUGUUCCAAUCCCCUUUUGUACUAUUCUCAAUAAGUGAAACCACCAAUCCUUCGGAGUCACUUUAAUAAUUGAAACUAUAAAAUAUACUACUAAAAUUCAAUUUUAAUUAAUUGAAAAGAAAAUCUUCUUUUGAAAACAAAUUUACAAAGUGCUUCUUCAAACUAGGUACCUUUUUAUUCCCUAAGGAGAAAUAAAAAACAAACAUGAAGCCAUUUUGACUCCCCGAGAAAUUGAAUUAGCACACGAAGAAAAAUGCUAAUCAAUAACAUUGGCAAACAUACCCAAUUAAAUUGAAUCUUCUUUACACAUGUUGAAACACUAGUAGAAGCUGUCAUUAGUAAUAUCAUUGAAAUAUAAUUGAACAUUUAGACAUACAGAAUUAGUUAAAAAAAUAUGAAACAACAGUAGAUUACUUCACUAUUCCUAAGAUAUUGUAAGACCACAAAGAUAACAAAUUAAAAUAACAAGAGUUCAAUCUCUAAUUUCGUACCAUUUUCAUUCUAGCUAUGAAUUAUUGUUCAUAUCAUUUUUUUAUUUACUCCUAUGAUUAAAGAAAACUGUAACAAACAUAUUAAAAUCCUUCGAAUGAAAAAUUAAAGAUAGAAACUCAAGAAAAAAAAAUGGAAAAAGAAUGAAAAAUUAGAGAGGUUGCAAUAAGUGACUGAACAAGGAUAACAUUUAUAUCAGGAAGCAAACAAAAUGUUCAAGCAUAACAAUUUAAGAAAUAUUAAGGAGCCAGAAACAAGGUCAUCACAGCUAAUCCAAAUAAUCAAAAUCAUAUCUCAAUCCAUAAACAAUGACACAACAUAAAAUUUGAGGAAAAAGAGAAAGUGCUACUAGAUGAAGCUCUGGAGAGUGGAGAUUGAAAUAGAAAUUGAAAAGCGGAGAUGCCAAAUUAAUUUGACAUCACUUCCAAAUUAUCCAUCGCCGUGUAAGUCACCACCCAUUAGCAGCAUUUCUUUUUUUUCACAAACGUAACACUAAAGACAACGUUAUAUUUAAUAAAAAAUUAAAAAAUUUUGAUUUUAUAGCUUAAAAAAAUAAAGUUCUGUUAAAUAUUUCAUUUAGCAGCAGUUUUGCCCGCCUAAAUGAAAAAUUAUUCAUUUCAUUUUAAUUUAGUUAUGUUAGUAAAUUAAAUUUAAUAUAAUUAUACUUAUUUUAUAUUUGUAUUCUAAUGCUAUUUAUUUUUUUAAUNNNNNNNNNNNNNNNNNNNNNNNNNNNNNNNNNNNNNNNNNNNNNNNNNNNNNNNNNNNNNNNNNNNNNNNNNNNNNNNNNNNNNNNNNNNNNNNNNNNNCACUUGAUUUAUUAUUUAGAAAGUUGUAACUAUAUGCCAUGCUUAAAAUAUAUGAUGGUAAAUAUAAUAAAUACAGCAUUAUUUAGUUGUACUCAAAAUAUAAUUUUUCUUGUGGGUGCCAUCUGGUCAAGGGUUGGAACCCCACUCACAUGGAUGAUGAGGAAAUUGAUUGUCACUAUACUAAGGAAUAAAAAAAUAAUAAUUAUCUACGUUACAUUAGUAAUUACAUUAUGAAUUUAGGUCAUUAAACUCAUGGGGCAUAAUUAUCUAAAAAGACAUAUAUAAUCGUUUAUGAAAAUAUGGUAUAUGUCCCGAGUUAAAUCAUGUGGAAGGUUGUUGUUAACAAUUAUAUUUGGGCUCUCACAUGCCCCCACCUUUAAAAUGAUAUUAAUACAUUAAUAAUACCAAUAGUUACAUUACUAAAAUUAAAAGAAUGUCAUAUGUGUAGAUUAUAGACUAUGCACAUUCUAAUAAUAAACAUCCAAUAAUGAUAAUAAAGAAUUAAAUAUCAUAGUUGAGUUUAUUUUCAUCAAUUUAAUAUUGGCUACCAAAGUAACAAUGAUGGUUACUAACAACAUCAUAAAACAAAAAUUCAAUAUUAUAAAUCAUUCAUUACGAUAUUACUAAAAGCAAUAGAUAAAAAAUUAACAUUUCAUUUAAAAUAUAGAAUUUUCGAUUUUAAGUAUUCAAGAAAAUGUUGUAACUUGAAAACAUUGAAUAAAUGUAACCAUAAAAAUAAUCUAGCAUAAAAGAAUAAAUUAAUUAAUUAAUCAAUUCACAUAAAGUUUGUAUGAAUUAAUUUCCUAUAUGUAUUGAGAGAUUGAUUUUUUCCAAAUAUUUGAAAAUAAAUA
Molecule: long non-coding RNA, 2460 nt
Filed under: Citrus x clementina
Lineage: Eukaryota; Viridiplantae; Streptophyta; Magnoliopsida; Sapindales; Rutaceae
Description: Citrus clementina (C. clementina) long non-coding RNA (CCLE_LNC003326)
Source: RNAcentral